Molecule: ribosomal RNA, 684 nt
Filed under: uncultured Glomeromycotina
Lineage: Eukaryota; Fungi; Glomeromycota
Description: partial small subunit ribosomal RNA
Rfam family: Eukaryotic small subunit ribosomal RNA
Source: RNAcentral
GUUCGAUUCCGGAGAGGGAGCCUGAGAAACGGCUACNNNNNNNNNNNNNNGCAGCAGGCGCGCAAAUUACCCAAUCCCGACACGGGGAGGUAGUGACAAUAAAUAACAAUACGGGGCUCUUUCGGGUCUCGUAAUUGGAAUGAGUACAAUUUAAAUCCCUUAACGAGGAACAAUUGGAGGGCAAGUCUGGUGCCAGCAGCCGCGGUAAUUCCAGCUCCAAUAGCGUAUAUUAAAGUUGUUGCAGUUAAAAAGCUCGUAGUUGAAUUUCGGGAUUGACACAUCGGUCGUGCCUUAAGGGGUAUGAACUGGUGUAGUCAAUUUCUCACCUUCUGGAGAACCGCGAUGCCCUUAAUUGGGUGUCGCGGGGAACCAGGACCUUUACUUUGAAAAAAUUAGAGUGUUUAAAGCAGGCAUUUUGCUUGAAUACAUUAGCAUGGAAUAAUAAAAUAGGACGGCAUGAUUCUAUUUUGUUGGUUUCUAGGAUCACCGUAAUGAUUAAUAGGGAUAGUUGGGGGCAUUAGUAUUCAAUUGUCAGAGGUGAAAUUCUUGGAUUUAUUGAAGACUAACUACUGCGAAAGCAUUUGCCAAGGAUGUUUUCAUUAAUCAAGAACGAAAGUUAGGGGAUCGAAGACGAUCAGAUACCGUCGUAGUCUUAACCAUAAACUAUGCCGACUAGGAAUCAGA